AUGGUAAGAUAAAUCUCGUCGCUGAGAGA
This 29-nucleotide ribosomal RNA is filed under the name Clostridium chauvoei JF4335. Its description in RNAcentral is "SSU ribosomal RNA". The record is from RNAcentral. Lineage: Bacteria; Bacillati; Bacillota; Clostridia; Eubacteriales; Clostridiaceae.